RNAcentral lists this ribosomal RNA (1035 nucleotides) under Streptomyces sp. RNAcentral describes it as "bacterial SSU rRNA". It matches the Rfam family "Bacterial small subunit ribosomal RNA", at positions 40 to 1075 of the family's 1533-position model. Lineage: Bacteria; Bacillati; Actinomycetota; Actinomycetes; Kitasatosporales; Streptomycetaceae. The record is from RNAcentral.
UGGCUAGCUGCUUGCACAUGCAGUCGUACGAUGUAACCACUUCGGUGGGGAUUAGUGGCGAACGGGUGAGUAACACGUGGGCAAUCUGCCCUUCACUCUGGGACAAGCCCUGGAAACGGGGUCUAAUACCGGAUACUGACCCUCGCAGGCAUCUGCGAGGUUCGAAAGCUCCGGCGGUGAAGGAUGAGCCCGCGGCCUAUCAGCUUGUUGGUGAGGUAAUGGCUCACCAAGGCGACGACGGGUAGCCGGCCUGAGAGGGCGACCGGCCACACUGGGACUGAGACACGGCCCAGACUCCUACGGGAGGCAGCAGUGGGGAAUAUUGCACAAUGGGCGAAAGCCUGAUGCAGCGACGCCGCGUGAGGGAUGACGGCCUUCGGGUUGUAAACCUCUUUCAGCAGGGAAGAAGCGAAAGUGACGGUACCUGCAGAAGAAGCGCCGGCUAACUACGUGCCAGCAGCCGCGGUAAUACGUAGGGCGCAAGCGUUGUCCGGAAUUAUUGGGCGUAAAGAGCUCGUAGGCGGCUUGUCACGUCGGUUGUGAAAGCCCGGGGCUUAACCCCGGGUCUGCAGUCGAUACGGGCAGGCUAGAGUUCGGUAGGGGAGAUCGGAAUUCCUGGUGUAGCGGUGAAAUGCGCAGAUAUCAGGAGGAACACCGGUGGCGAAGGCGGAUCUCUGGGCCGAUACUGACGCUGAGGAGCGAAAGCGUGGGGAGCGAACAGGAUUAGAUACCCUGGUAGUCCACGCCGUAAACGGUGGGCACUAGGUGUGGGCAACAUUCCACGUUGUCCGUGCCGCAGCUAACGCAUUAAGUGCCCCGCCUGGGGAGUACGGCCGCAAGGCUAAAACUCACAGGAAUUGACGGGGGCCCGCACAAUCGGCGGAGCAUGUGUCUUAAUUCUACGCAACGCGCAGAAACAUUAUCAAGGUGUGGACAUACAUCCGCAGAGCAUCAUAGAUGGUGCCCCCCCUUUUUGGUCGGUGUACAAGAAGGUGCAUGGCCUGGCCUUCACCUCCGUGUCGGUGACCAUGAUAU